GAGUUUGAUCCUGGCUCAGGACGAACGCUGGCGGCGUGCUUAACACAUGCAAGUCGAACGGUGACGACGGAGCUUGCUCUGUCUGAUCAGUGGCGAACGGGUGAGUAACACGUGAGUAACCUGCCCCCGACUCUGGAAUAACCGUGGGAAACGACGGCUAAUACCGGAUAUGAGACGCACAGGCAUCUGUGUGUCUGGAAAGAUUUAUCGGUCAGGGAUGGACUCGCGGCCUAUCAGCUUGUUGGUGGGUAAUGGCCCACCAAGGCGACGACGGGUAGCCGGCCUGAGAGGGCGACCGGCCACACUGGGACUGAGAUACGGCCCAGACUCCUACGGGAGGCAGCAGUGGGGAAUAUUGGACAAUGGGCGCAAGCCUGAUCCAGCCAUGCCGCGUGUGUGAAGAAGGCCUCGGUUGUAAG
Molecule: ribosomal RNA, 419 nt
Filed under: uncultured bacterium
Lineage: Bacteria
Description: bacterial SSU rRNA
Rfam family: Bacterial small subunit ribosomal RNA
Source: RNAcentral